GAGGCUGGGGAAGCUGGUCUGGGGAAGUCCGGAGGGCUUAAAGGAGCCAGGGGUGGAGCAGCCCCGAGGAUUCGGGACUGGGGGAGGCCAUCAGUGGUUCGCACUGAGCUCCAGAGUUGCUCUGGGGUAGCUGGAUAAAAUGUGGGCUUUUUUUGUGGUUUUUUUUGUUUGGUUUGGUGAUUUUAUUUUUUUUUCCUUAUUUGCCUUUCUCACGGGUUAUGGCUAUGGUAGGUGAUAGCAGAAGAAACACCUUCCAGGAGAGACGUGGGCUGAAAAUGAAUGGUUUGCAUUAGAUUUGUUAUGCUGGGUAAGUAUAGGUUGAAGUAAAGAUGCUUUAGAGCAUUCACUGGUUAUUCAAUGCUUAAUAAUAAAGAUAAUAAAUAAAAAUUUUCACAAGAGCAAUCCUGGAAGAAGCAUGAGAGGUAUCACAAAAUACAGCUCCUGGCUGAUGAAGCACCCUGUAACUGUGCAGGAAAGAGAGCAUGGUGUGACUGUACAAAAGCCCUUUAUUCCACCUAUUGGAAGGAGUAGCUCAGACAUAUCCUUGGAGUACUGUCAGGUGAAAGAGUAACAGCAUUGAUCCAUCCUCCUCCACCGCUUUCUUUUUUUCCUACUAGAUUCUCCUGAGGUGGCCCAAUUUCUGUCUUCUACUGCUAUUAUUAACUUGAGAAGUCUCCUUCUCUUCCCUAAUUUGUGGCUCAUGCUGGUGAAAUGAGCAGAAUCAGCUGUAGAUAAAUAACUCCUGUGACUUCUGUUUUCUGUCAGAGUGGGGUUAACAGCCCUCAGUUACUGACAGCAUCAGCACCUUGAUGGUUGUCAUAGGUUUACUUGUUCUAAAAAAACAGGCAGGAAAUUUUUCUUUCCCAUGCACUGCUGUAAGGGGGGGGAUGUUGAAAGUGGGAGGGUAGUUUUCGCCUUGGGUGAUUGACCCCACACAAAUCACAUUCCAAGCUGAUGGCCCUCCGAAGACUGGGGAGGGGUGAUGAGGUUUUUUUCCCUCUCCUCGGAAAUGGCAGGCACUUCACUUUUGCUCUGACUGUAGGGAGGGUUUGUGUUGGAGGGGUCCGAGGUUCACUUUGGUUUUGGCCUGGUCAUCUGGCUUGUUUUCUGGCCCCGGUGUCCCUCCGUUUUCCUGCGCCAUGUUCUGUCCCAGCUCAGAUCUGCUCGGAUUUCAUCGGAGAGGCUUGACCCACCUGCAGAGGAACCUUUUUGGGAGGAGGUUGCCCUUUCCCUCCUCCGUUUCCGUGUUGGCAGCGGCGUGUGUCCAUCGACGAAAAGGGGGAAAUCCUGGCCACAGCCAGCCGCAAACAGCGAGCCUUUAGGAGUUGGAGAGGAUAGGCCGUGACAUCACAAAGAAGCCCAUGGCACACGGGUGAGGCUGCAUUUUGACAAUGUGGGGCGCUGUUUUUUGGGUUGCCAGGGGCUAUUCUGGAAUGGAGAGGAUAGGCCGUGACAUCACAAAGAAGCCCAUGGCACACAGACUGGCAGGAAAAUGCUCACCUUGCUCAUCUGCCCUCCGGUGCUAAUAGCCCGCCCCACCACUUCCAUCCCACCUCAAAGAGAGAACAAAAAGACGCUCACAAGAAUGACCUUUGAAGAGCAGUGCCUGUCAGAACUGCAAGGAGGGAUGCAGAACAAUCUUAUGUGGGUGAUAUUCUCCACUCUGACCUGCAAAACCUAGUGCUGGGGUCGAAACUAAGACUCUCUGCUUCCCUCUCCUAAGGGAUUUGGUUUUAGACAUCUCUUUCCCUUAUGCUCAUUUCAAAAGCCCUCCUGGCAAUUCCCAAGCCUGUACCUGGCUCUCAUCCCCUCUCUGGCUCAGAGCCCUCGACUUAUCUUUCAGAGAGCUGGGACUGUCAAGUCAUCUUCCAAAAGCAUGGCCCUUCGGCUGGCUCAGAGAUUCCUCCAGUCGCACCAGGCCCUGCCCAAGGCCCUCCUAUCAGGGUCUGGGCCCUGGAGGCAGGGGGAGAACCCCCCCGUGGCUUGGCCAUUCUUCCCCAGCCCUUGUCUGGCCCAGCAUCCUCCCCCCGGCACACUCCCCACUGCCACAGGCUGCACUGGGGCGGCAUUUCCUUCUUGGGCCCUUUCGAGCUGCCCCCAUGGGGACACUUCCAUUUUCUGGGCCAAGCACCAGAGCCAAUCCCAGCCAGUCCCAUCGUCCCCUGUCCGACUCCCUGACUCCUAGUGGCCCCUGGAAGCCAAGAGCCAAAGGCCGACACCCACAGAGUGCAGCCCCACCCAUCUGCACUGGGGCCCCAGGGGUUCCCUUUACCAAACAGCCCCUGCGAACCCUUGUCAGAGAGAAAAUUGGGUGACUCCUGGAUGCUUUUAGUAAAGAGGUCUAAACAUUUCUUGAA
Molecule: long non-coding RNA, 2357 nt
Organism: Corapipo altera (White-ruffed manakin)
Lineage: Eukaryota; Metazoa; Chordata; Aves; Passeriformes; Pipridae
Exons: 3
Source: RefSeq, a predicted model, not a curated record